RNAcentral lists this microRNA precursor (62 nucleotides) under Saccoglossus kowalevskii. RNAcentral describes it as "Sko-Mir-219_pre stem-loop". It matches the Rfam family "mir-219 microRNA precursor family", at positions 6 to 67 of the family's 79-position model. Rfam says of the family: The hairpin precursors (represented here) are predicted based on base pairing and cross-species conservation -- their extents are not known. In this case the mature sequence is excised from the 5' arm of the hairpin. Lineage: Eukaryota; Metazoa; Hemichordata; Enteropneusta; Harrimaniidae. The record is from RNAcentral.
UGAUUGUCCAAACGCAAUUCUUGUGUUUUCUUAACUAAACAAGAGCUGUGCUGGGCAUCACA